This 388-nucleotide ribosomal RNA is filed under the name uncultured bacterium. Its description in RNAcentral is "bacterial SSU rRNA". It matches the Rfam family "Bacterial small subunit ribosomal RNA", at positions 28 to 420 of the family's 1533-position model. The record is from RNAcentral.
GACGAACGCUGGCGGCGUGCUUAACACAUGCAAGUCGAGCGGUAAGGCCCUUUCGGGGGUACACGAGCGGCGAACGGGUGAGUAACACGUGGGUGACCUGCCCUCAGCUCUGGGAUAAGCCCGGGAAACUGGGUCUAAUACCGGAUAUGACUCCACGGUGCAUGUCGUGGGGUGGAAAGCCUUGUGCGGCUGAGGAUGGGCCCGCGGCCUAUCAGCUUGUUGGUGGGGUGAUGGCCACCAAGGCGACGACGGUAGCCGGCCUGAGAGGGCGACCGGCCACACUGGGACUGAGACACGGCCCAGACUCCUACGGGAGGCAGCAGUGGGAAUCUUGCGCAAUGGGCGAAAGCCUGACGCAGCGACGCCGCGUGAGGGAUGACGGCCUCGG